GCUAGGUAUGGUGAUACAUACCUGUAAUCCCAGCUACUUGGGAGCCUGAGGCAGAAGAAUCACUUGAACCCAGGAGGUGGAGGUUGCAGUGAGCUGAGAUCAUGCCACUGAACUCCAUCCUGGGUGACAGAGUGAGACUCUGUCUCAA
RNAcentral lists this small RNA (148 nucleotides) under Callithrix jacchus (white-tufted-ear marmoset). RNAcentral's name for it is "Metazoan signal recognition particle RNA (ENSCJAG00000085766.1)". Lineage: Eukaryota; Metazoa; Chordata; Mammalia; Primates; Cebidae. The record is from Rfam by way of RNAcentral.